RNAcentral lists this ribosomal RNA (226 nucleotides) under Salmonella enterica. RNAcentral's name for it is "partial 16S ribosomal RNA". It matches the Rfam family "Bacterial small subunit ribosomal RNA", at positions 1 to 223 of the family's 1533-position model. Lineage: Bacteria; Pseudomonadati; Pseudomonadota; Gammaproteobacteria; Enterobacterales; Enterobacteriaceae. The record is from RNAcentral.
AAAUUGAAGAGUUUGAUCAUGGCUCAGAUUGAACGCUGGCGGCAGGCCUAACACAUGCAAGUCGAACGGUAACAGGAAGCAGCUUGCUGCUUUGCUGACGAGUGGCGGACGGGUGAGUAAUGUCUGGGAAACUGCCUGAUGGAGGGGGAUAACUACUGGAAACGGUGGCUAAUACCGCAUAAUGUCGCAAGACCAAAGAGGGGGACCUUCGGGCCUCUUGCCAUCA